CCAGACUCCUACGGGAGGCAGCAGUCGGGAAUAUUGCGCAAUGGAGGAAACUCUGACGCAGUGACGCCGCGUGCAGGAAGAAGGUUUUCGGAUUGUAAACUGCUUUAGACAGGGAAGAAACAAGACAGUACCUGUAGAAUAAGCUCCGGCUAACUACGUGCCAGCAGCCGCGGUAAUACGUAGGGAGCAAGCGUUAUCCGGAUUUAUUGGGUGUAAAGGGUGCGUAGACGGAGAAGCAAGUUAGUUGUGAAAUCCCUCGGCUUAACUGAGGAACUGCAACUAAAACUACUUCCCUUGAGUGCUGGAGAGGAAAGUGGAAUUCCUAGUGUAGCGGUGAAAUGCGUAGAUAUUAGGAGGAACACCAGUGGCGAAGGCGACUUUCUGGACAGUAACUGACGUUGAGGCACGAAAGUGUGGGGAGCAAACAGGAUUAGAUACCCGCGUACA
Molecule: ribosomal RNA, 447 nt
Filed under: uncultured bacterium
Lineage: Bacteria
Description: bacterial SSU rRNA
Rfam family: Bacterial small subunit ribosomal RNA
Source: RNAcentral